UAAAGGAAAAGUAGAAUGGUUAUCAUUAGAACAUACGAAAGGAAACCUAGGACUGAUAUACACCUAAAAUAUUCUUCAUAUUCUUACAAGUUAACAGAAUAAUACCUUGACAAAGAUUUUCCUAUCACUCUCAUGCCUCUUAUUAACUAUUUCACCCUUUCUUUAUUGUCUUCUUGUUCAGUUGAAGAAUUUUUGUUGUUACAUUAUCUUUUCUGCAUUUUCUCUACCACACAACUAAAGAACAAUCAUUAGAUUCAUAACCAAUAUGAAAAUAUGCUACAAAAUGAGAGAAGAAAUGCACUAUUUAACCUGUUUUAAAAUUUCUCAACCCCUAUUCGUCAUCUCUUUUCUCUCGAGCAAAAGUUCAUAGCAAACAGAAAAGGACAAACAAGCUAUUUUAUACCUUACCUAUUGCCUUGACAUAUCACAUUUCCUCUCUCUUAUAUCUUCUCCUGAAUUGUCAUUCCUUAAUCCAAUAAAAUCACCAGAAAAAUACUUUCCUUUUGUUGAUUAGCUCAUUUUGUCACUCUAAUACAUCCAUCACUUUUUGUAGAAUAGAAUUAUAAAUUUUGUACAUGCUGCAAGCACCGGCUGUAAAUGUCAUUCUCAGUUGCUUUCCCUUCUUUCCAUGGGACAAAUGAUGUGAGUGUCUAAUGGAAAGGAAGAAGAAGAGGAGAAUAAAGUUUCACCCGGACUACCCAUGCUCGGGUAAAUUGUUUCUUCGACGUUUGCAACUCAAAGAUGGGAAACCAAUCUAAGGCCUAUGAUUAAAAAAUAAAAACAAAAAUUAAUACAGAGAUACAUGAAGAUAAAUACCAACCAAAAUUGAAGCUUUGUACCUUCAUAUCUUUCUCACAUAUGGUUAAAUUGAUCUCUUCUUGUUAUUGGAUGCAUCUGGAAUUGAGAUUUGUCUUGAAACGGUUGUUAGGUUAUUUGUUCUCCUUGUUAAUUGUUAAUUUAUUAUCUAUUUUUGGUGCCGCUGCAAUGAAAGUCGUUAUGUUCAUUGAUGAUUCAUGUUCGCCGGAUUUGAAGCGGUGAGAAUUAUUUUUGAACAAUUUUCGGAGUAUUUUGAGAGAGUGAUG
Molecule: long non-coding RNA, 1082 nt
Filed under: Nicotiana benthamiana
Lineage: Eukaryota; Viridiplantae; Streptophyta; Magnoliopsida; Solanales; Solanaceae
Description: long non-coding RNA (NBEN_LNC027001)
Source: RNAcentral